UCUAUGGUUUCAAGUUUUCGGACAAGAAACUGUAGAGGAUAGUGGCGAAAGGGUGAGUAUCGCGUGGGUAACGUACCUCUAAGUUGAGGACAACCCCGGGAAACCGGGGCUAAUACUGGAUGUGGUCAUUUAUCGCAUGAUAAGUUGACCAAAGAUGGGGAUCCUUCGGGACCCGUCGCUUAGAGAGCGGCCCGAGUACCAUCAGCUAGUUGGUGAGGUAAUGGCUCACCAAGGCUUUAACGGUUAGCCGGCCUGAGAGGGUGAUCGGCCACACUGGGACUGAGACACUGCCCAGACUCCUACGGGAGGCUGCAGUCGAGGAUCAUUGUCAAUGCGCGAAAGCGUGAACAUGCGACGCUGCGUGGAGGAUGACGGCCUUCGGGUUGUAAACUCCUGUCAUUCGGGACAAAUGAGUACGGUGUUAAUACCACCGUAAAAUGAUGGUACCGGAAGAGGAAGCCACGGCUAACUCUGUGCCAGCAGCCGCGGUAAUACAGAGGUGGCGAGCGUUGUUCGGAUUUACUGGGCGUAAAGCGUGCGUAGGUUGUUUUGUAUGUUGGAUGUGAAAGCCCACGGCUCACCCGUGGAAUUGCAUCCAAAACUGCAAAGCUAGAGUACAGGAGGGGAGAGCGGAAUUCUUGGUGUAGCGGUGAAAUGCGUUGAUAUCAAGAAGAACACCGGUGGCGAAGGCGGCUCUCUGGAAUGUUACUGACGCUGAGGCACGAAAGUUGGGGGAGCAAACAGGAUUAGAUACCCUGGUAGUCCCAACCGUAAACGGUGUGAACUUGGUGUGGGGGGAAUUGACCCCUCCCGUGCCGGAGCUAACGCGUUAAGUUCACCGCCUGGGGAGUACGGCCGCAAGGCUAAAACUCAAAGAAAUUGACGGGGGCCCGCACAAGCGGAGGAGCAUGUGGCUUAAUUCGAUGCAACGCGAAGAACCUUACCAGGGCUUGACAUGUAACUGCAAAUUCUGUGAAAGCAGAACUCUUUCGAAGGUGUUACACAGGUGCUGCAUGGCUGUCGUCAGUCGUGCCGUGAGGUGUUGGGUUAAGUCCCGCAACGAACGCAACCCUUGUGUUUAGUUGCCACCGCAGGUGAUGAAUCUGCGAGCACUCUAGACAGACUGCCCGUACAAGCGGGAGGAAGGUGGGGAUGACGUCAAGUCAGUAUGGCCCUUACGCCCUGGGCUGCACACGUGCUACAAUGGCCAGUACAAAGGGAAGCAAUGCCGCGAGGUGGAGCAAAUCCCCAAAACUGGCCCCAGUUCGGAUUGGAGUCUGAAACUCGACUCCAUGAAGUUGGAUUCGCUAGUAACGGCGUAUCAGCUACGACGCCGUGAAUACGUUCCCGGGCCUUGUACACACCGCCCGUCACAUCAUGAAAGCCGUCUGCACCCGAAGUCGCUGAGCUAAUCUUUCGAGAAGGCAGGUGCCGAAGGUGUGGGUGGUGAUUGG
RNAcentral lists this ribosomal RNA (1454 nucleotides) under metagenome. Its description in RNAcentral is "bacterial SSU rRNA". It matches the Rfam family "Bacterial small subunit ribosomal RNA". The record is from RNAcentral.